UUUAGGCUCUCUUUCUUUUGGAAGAUUGGCCACGGUUCCUCUGUUUCCUUAUGGCACGACAAUUGGCUGGAAUGUGGCCCGCUUCUCUUACUUAUCCCGCCGGACCUUGUGGAGAGCUGUCGCCUUCCAAGCUAUUCUGUAGUGGCGGACCUUUAUUCUCCCGUGGGUGCUUCUUUGAGAGACUUCCUCGCAAAUAUGGGAAUUACUAUACCCAU
RNAcentral lists this long non-coding RNA (215 nucleotides) under Eucalyptus grandis. RNAcentral describes it as "long non-coding RNA (EGRA_LNC003488)". Lineage: Eukaryota; Viridiplantae; Streptophyta; Magnoliopsida; Myrtales; Myrtaceae. The record is from RNAcentral.